GUAGGUGAACCUGCGGAAGGAUCAUUAGCGAGAUUGCUGGGUGUUGAUUGUUGGGUGGGUGGGUUGAGGUGGUUGGAGUGGUUGUUGGUGUUGUUGUCUGUGGUUGUUUGCGGGACGGGGAAUCGUCCUGCAGUUGCCACAUUGUGUUGUAUAACCACAGUGCCACAUUGUGUUGUAUAACCACAGCAUCACAUCAUCACAUCAAAUCCACUCACUCACUCACACACAUCACCAUACCACUUAUAUUUAC
RNAcentral lists this unclassified non-coding RNA (250 nucleotides) under plant metagenome. RNAcentral's name for it is "partial contains small subunit ribosomal RNA, internal transcribed spacer 1, and 5.8S ribosomal RNA". The record is from RNAcentral.